AAUACGCCCGCGUUAGGGAUUGAAGCGGCAUCCUUUUUUAUACCAAAAUAACUUAAACGGCUUAUCUAAACAAUAAAUUGCUUCUAAAAACAAAGAUGCUGAACUAAAUUCAGCAUAAAAAAGAUAUAGCGGAAAGCCCGACCUUGG
This 147-nucleotide small RNA is filed under the name Tenacibaculum todarodis. RNAcentral describes it as "Tenacibaculum sp. LPB0136 Flavo-1 RNA". It matches the Rfam family "Flavo-1 RNA". Lineage: Bacteria; Pseudomonadati; Bacteroidota; Flavobacteriia; Flavobacteriales; Flavobacteriaceae. The record is from Rfam by way of RNAcentral.